RNAcentral lists this transfer RNA (96 nucleotides) under Mycolicibacterium madagascariense. RNAcentral's name for it is "tRNA-Gly". Lineage: Bacteria; Bacillati; Actinomycetota; Actinomycetes; Mycobacteriales; Mycobacteriaceae. The record is from RNAcentral.
CGGGCGCGUCGUGCGUGGCGGCGGCGCCGACCGUGCCGCGGUCGUCGAGCAGCAGGGCCUGCUCGAAGUGGAGCUCGGCCACCUCGGCGGCCGCCC